CAUCAAUUUCUCUAUCCUCUUCUCUAAUGGUGUGUUUUACUAAUUAGGAAUUUGAAUUCUCAUCAGGAAUUAAAUUCUACCUAUGAAGGAUUCAUGCGUUUACUUCACAUCAAGAAAUUAAAAAGUAAGUGGGGCCACACAAAAUUAGGAAUUGAAUUCCUGAUUAAGAUUAUGCUAUUAGGUUGAUGCUUAAAUCAAUCUAACAUGAAUCAUAAAUUGGCCGAGUUGCUUAUCCCUACUUACUUAUCAUGCCCACCAAAUUUAUGACUCCGCCCUUAGAGUGAUGUUGCUACAACUAUAAUGAGUCCAAGAGCAGGCGAUUCUACACGUAAUGAGGACGAUUUGAUAUAAGAGUCAAUUUAAGCUGAAUUUAGACUUUGAGAACCUCUAAUCUAAGUUCAACAUGGAUUUGAUCAAAUUGCUAAUUUAUCAACGCAACAAAACUUAUGCAAAACUGAAAAAAUUUAAAAGAAAAAAAGGAUCCCACUAUUUAUAUAUAUAUUAAUUAAAAAAAAAAAGAAUAUCUAACAGUAUAGCCGUGCGGCUAUACGCUAUAAAUACAAUAUAAUGACUACGAGAUAGAAUGGAACUCCUUGAAUUCAUUCGAACACGACCAUCUUCUAGCCCCUUUCUCUCGCUCAGAUAUCCGGCGACCUCUCUUCUUCAAUCCUCAUCUCUCUCUCUCUCUCAUAGCACCAUCGUCAUCUCGUCCCUGACCUUGGAGAUUCCAAAAUGUGGCUUAUUUUUUUUCUAGACGGUAGCGCCUGCCUAGACAGCCUAGCAACCGCCUAGACCGCCUAGCGCCCGCCUUGGCCAUUUAUUCAGUAAUAUUAACAAUAUGAGUGAGUGUGUUCAAGGAUUUAACUUGUAAAGAAGAUUUUCGAACAAUAACAGAUAACCCAGAGAAGUUUCAUGGAGUUAUCACAAUGGUGGCUGUUGGCCAACACUGCUGUGGUUGCUUACUGCAGCAUGUAUCGAGACAGGGAGGCCUCAGACUGCUAAGACAGCAAUUGAACAGGUGGAGCAGCGGCUCUCAAAAGACGGGUGGCCAGAAUACUAUGACGGCAAGGCAGGGAGAUAUAUCAGGAAGCAAGCGAGGAAGUACCAGACCUGGAGCAUCUCAGGAUAUCUGGUAGCUAAACUGAUGAUCGAGAACCCAACCAAUCUUUCACUAAUCUUUCUUGAAGAGGACAAGAAGAUAGCCAAGCCAAGGCUCACCCGCUCCGCUUCCUUUUGAGUCAAACCAGUGGCAGCAGCAUACAUGAUGCAUUACAGUGUUUCGAAGGCUAAUGGCACAAAGUUGUGAUGGCAUAUUAAGAGGGCGACAGAGUCUGCUGAAGGUUGUGUGAAAGACUUCAUCUUUGGAUCAAAAAGGCAACCUGAAAGAGAAAUUGAGAAGCUUGCCCUUAACAGUGCAAAGGAAUAUCAUUAGUCUUUUUUUUGAAAAAAAAAAAAAUGAACGUCCUUAGUUAAAUAGACAGUUAACAAUGUAUUGAGAAUGAUUCUACUGUUCUUGUUAGUUUUAUGUGGUGAUAUUUCAUGUUUUGUUUUAUUUCGUGUAUGAUCUUCACCUU
Long non-coding RNA from Prunus persica (peach), 1574 nucleotides. RefSeq lists it as uncharacterized. The transcript is spliced from 3 exons. NCBI's taxonomy places the organism in Eukaryota, Viridiplantae, Streptophyta, Magnoliopsida, Rosales, Rosaceae. The record is from RefSeq and is a predicted model, not a curated record.